GUGUGUAAUAACUUUCGGGGCCAGAAAAAUUUCCCGACAAUUGUUAAAAAAUGUAUAUUUUGUAGUAUAGAGAGAAUAUAAUUAAAUAAAUCAACAUAUUAGAGUUUUUAUUACAGAUUCAACAUCACACUACCCAGUUCUCCUCGACAACAGCUACUGUCACAAACCUUCAAAGAAGAGCUUCAAAGGACCUUCAAAGAAGAGCUGUCACUUUAUUCCGAAGAGUUUUGAAGAAUGUUCCACCCAUUAUAUAUCCAAGAGACAUUCUUCGUGAAAGACCGCUGAAGAAAGAUUCGUUUUUGCGAUUCAGUAAACCACGUCAUUCAACUUAGGAGUAUUCCGAAGAGGCGUGGUAAAAAAGGCGCUCUUUCUAAAAGCUAUUAUAUAUGCUUAAUUGCAUCUCAUUUUAUGAAAAAAAAUAAAAUGCUUUUUAUUUUA
Stegodyphus dumicola is the source of this 438-nucleotide long non-coding RNA. RefSeq lists it as uncharacterized. The record is from RefSeq and is a predicted model, not a curated record. Lineage: Eukaryota; Metazoa; Arthropoda; Arachnida; Araneae; Eresidae.